AAGGCCUAUGAAAACUAGACCAACAAGUCCCUAGCUUCUCAGCUCUCUGCAACAAGUAAAUUUUAGACGAGAGGUGCGAGCAGGUGGCUAUUACGGAUAAAGGACACUAGAAAAAAAGUAAAAGAUUAUGCUGCAACUAGAUCAGGAGUUUCAGCCUCCACGGAUAACAAAGCAGUGUGUACUUUGUCGACCCAAUUGUCUAGCCGAUCCCUCAGUGACUUGAUUUGAGGAAUUCCCAGAACUCUUGGUUGCACCCAGGACACAUGUACUGUCCCUUCGACUUGGUCAAUUAUUCCCUCAAUCAGAUGCACAGAAAGACUCUUCAUGAGUAGAUAUUCGACAUCCUCCACACUUAACUUUGUCCGCUCUGCAAUCACACUCAGUGGGAUAGUUCUAUCAUAUGCUGGGCGACUGAAGAUAAUUUCCAUCAAGCAGAGAAUGUUGAUCUUCUCGAGAAGUUUUUUCUCAUUCUGCACCAAUGCUGGUUGAGCAGUUAAAGCAGCUUGAUGGACAUGGCACAAUUUUUGAUAGUGAACCAAAUCACCGGUGUUAAAUGCUUCAAGAAUAUAAUAGAGCCACUCAACCUUAGUCCCUAUCAAACUCUUUAUAAUUGGAUGAGCUAGCAGUUCUCCGAAGUUGUAUAUGUUGUCUCCUAGCAAUGCUGACAGGGAUAAAUCAAAAGCCAAAUCCAGCUUAAAUGAUUCAG
RNAcentral lists this unclassified non-coding RNA (706 nucleotides) under Hevea brasiliensis (rubber tree). Lineage: Eukaryota; Viridiplantae; Streptophyta; Magnoliopsida; Malpighiales; Euphorbiaceae. The record is from RNAcentral.